CACGUAGUUAGCCGGGGCUUCUUAGUCAGGUACCGUCAUUUUCUUCCCUGCUGAUAGAAGUUUACAUACCGAAGUACUUCAUCCUUCACGCGGCGUCGCUGCAUCAGGGUUUCCCCCAUUGUGCAAUAUUCCCCACUGCUGCCUCCCGUAGGAGUUUGGGCCGUGUCUCAGUCCCAAUGUGGCCGGUCACCCUCUCAGGUCGGCUACUGAUCGUCGCCUUGGUGGGCCUUUACCCCACCAACUAGCUAAUCAGACGCGGGUCCAUCCCAUACCACCGGAGUUUUACCCCUGCGCCAUGCGGCGCUGUGGUCUUAUGCGGUAUUAGCAGACAUUCUAUCUGUUAUCCCCCUGUAUGGGGCAGGUUACCACGCGUACUCACCCGUCCGCCACUCAGUCACAGUACCAAUCAACCCGAAGGAAUCAAGGUAAAGCGCUUCGUUCGACUUGCAUGUGUUAAGCAACGCCGCCAGCGUCAUCUGUAGCAGAGUCAAACUACCU
This 498-nucleotide ribosomal RNA is filed under the name uncultured Lachnospiraceae bacterium. Its description in RNAcentral is "partial 16S ribosomal RNA". The record is from RNAcentral. Lineage: Bacteria; Bacillati; Bacillota; Clostridia; Lachnospirales; Lachnospiraceae.